This 223-nucleotide long non-coding RNA is filed under the name Capsella rubella. RNAcentral's name for it is "long non-coding RNA (CRUB_LNC003791)". Lineage: Eukaryota; Viridiplantae; Streptophyta; Magnoliopsida; Brassicales; Brassicaceae. The record is from RNAcentral.
UUGUGUUUUGGUGUCUAAUAAAUUCCUACACAUCGCAUUAUGCCCAUGAUGGUUUUCUGGCUUUUUCAUUUUUUUUUUAUGUAUAAUUUAAUGGACAUGUUAUAUAGGUAAUUCAAUCUCAAACUGUGGUUUCUAGAGGGAAUUAAGUUGAGAACUUUUAUUUCAAGGAAAAAUAGGAGUUGAGUUUUUUUCUGGGGAUAUAUAUAUCAAGGUCAGAUUUCGA